ACUGGCCACACGUUUCCUUUCGUUCACACUGGCCACACGUUUCCUUUCGUUCACACGUCUUCAACAUUAUGUUCAACAAAGUUUCCUUUCAACCCAGCAUCACUCAAAAAAACAAUUGCUCACAAACAACUUGCAAAGACCCAUCCUUUAUCUUGCAAAGACCCAUCCUUUAUCUUUUAUACCUUGUGAAGAUCCUGUUGCAAACAUGUUAUAAGUAAAAUCCAAUGAAUUAGAACAUGUAUAAGUAAAACAUUAGCCGUUUCUCUUAUAAAUUGAGGCAAACAGAACUGAGAGAGAGGAGGAAAUUUUCUAAAACAAUCAGAAAACCAGAUAAAGGUAGAAGAUAGAGUUGUUAUUAGAGAAACAGAUCUUACCCAUAACAAACAGAUCCAUCAAACCCAUUCAGCAAACUCAGAUCCAUCAAACCCAUAAGGAUAUUCAAACCCGUUUUAAAAUCAAACCCGUUUUAAGAUCAAAGAGACGACCGCAUCGGAAAGGUAUUUCAUUCAUCGAUUCCUGGUUUGAGUUUGAAAUUUUGUGUAUGAGUUUGAAAUGGGGGUGAGGUUUGCCCUGUUUGUUUCAUUGUUUCCUGAUUUGUUUAGCGCUUUCAUUUUAUUAAGGGUUAGGGUAUUAUUUUCUUUAAAUUAUUAUUAUUUAUGUUAUGCUUAUUAUAAAAAUUAUGAAUACAAUUAACUAGUAAUAAAGGUCAUUUAUUUUACAUUAUAACAAUUUUUCACUUAUUUACAAAAUAUAUUAAAAAAGGAUUAUAUAUAUAAUUAAUAUAAAUUUUUUAAUAGAUUAAGUUAAAGUCCAUAUAUUUUUAUUUUUACUAUUUUAUUCUCGUGGUUAUAACUAAUUCUAUUUCGAAAAAAAUCAUUUAAACUUGUUUAAUAUUUAUUAUAUUUUUUUUAAAAAUAAAAUAAUAACAAAUAUUUCAUUAAAAUUAACUAGAUGUGACAUCUUUUUAAUUUUUGAGUUAUUAGAACACAAAUUGUGACAAUUUGAUGGUUCUAAAUCUCAUAUUCACAAAAUAAAUUAAUAAAAUAAAAAUCAUAAACAAGUUAAUCAUAAAAAUUAUUUAUAUUUUAAUCCUAGAGUUACAUACUAUAAAUUAAACUAUGUUGUUAGUUUGGAAACUUAAUUUAAAAAUAAAAAUAAAAAUAUUCUUAAGAGGAUUAAAUUAGAUGUGACAUCUUUUUACUCCUUGAAUUUUGAGACACGAGUUGUACAAUUCGAUCGUCUUAAAAUUCAUAUUUUAAGAUAAUUAUUCAAAUCGAGCAAGUUUAUUUCUUUAUGCUUGUCAAAAUUAAUUUUUUUUAAAAGAAAAUAACAAAAAAUACAAUUUAUUUAAAAGCAAUCAACACAUCCACAUUUUCUUCCAAGAACUACGUAGCUUUGAUUUCUCCAUCGCACCGGGAGAUACGUAGGAGCAAGAUCACACUCUUGUCAAGCACAAUAAUAAAAACUUUUUUUUACUCUUUUAAAUACGUUUUUAUCUCAAAAAAUCACAUUUAUAAAAAACAAUUUAUAUUCAUAUUUAAUAAUAAAGAAAAAUAAAUAUAUUUAAGUUGAUAUAAUUUUGCACAAUUAAUUAAAGGUAACCGUAUUUUAAUGGAUGUCGUAGGGUGCUAAUACCUUCCCUACGCAUAAUCGACUCCCGAAUUCAAAAUCUGGUUUCAAAGACCAUUUUUACAUUUUUAAGGGUUUUCCAAUAUUUUCCCUAUUUUAAAAUAAAUUUUGGUGGCGACUCCAUUGAAUUCGAUGAAAACUCGAAAUUUUAGGCCGCGACACCAAAUAAGUUCAAUUACUUUUGUAUCUAUACCAAAUAAGUUCAAUCAUUUUUAUAUCUAUACCAAAUAAUUUGAAACUUAUAGAGAGUUCAAACACUACAAUAACAUAUAUAUUUUCCACGAUUAAUUGAACUUUGAACUUUUCUAUUAGCACUCUUUCAUGCCCCUCAAGUCACUAACAUAGUUUUAUACUUGGGGAAAAAAUUAGAUAUAGCUGAUAUGCAUGACAUGAUAACUGAUAAGACCCACCAAAAGUGAGUAAUGCUUGGUUCAAGGCUUAGAAGCUCUUAGUGCAUUAAAAUUUACCACUUAAACAAAUGUAUUAUAACUUCUUGUUUUCAGGAUUUGAAUUGAAGUUUUUCUGUUUGCUGAUAAAAACUUAUGGUCUUGUUAUGUCUUUUGUUUGUGACUUUUGCAUAAAGAGAGUGAGAAACUAAAAUACUUGGACUUGCAAACUGCUAAUAUUGUGGCCAGAAAUAGAUACGAUCCAUUCCAUGUUGUUGCAAAGCAAUGUCAUCUUGGUAAGAAGAAACAACAUAGGAUAAUGUUUGGGCCUAAGGGUUCUUAUAAUUUUCUUAAUAUUUUUUUUUUUCUGUUUAUUUUGUCUUUAUAAACAGUUAUACUAGGUUAAUCAAUGGAGUUCAACAAUUAAACCCAUAACAAAAAUAAAACUUUAAUAAAAAUUAAAAUAUGAGAAAAAUCAUAAUACAAAAAAAAAAUCAUAAUACACAAAAAAAUUAGAAACCCAGAACAGAUUUAAAACAAACCAACAAAACACAACUUCAACAAAUUUAAAAUGUCAAAAAACUCAAAACGCAAAAGAAAAUCAAAAACUCAGAAUACCAUUAUACAAUAAAUACUAACCUUAGUGACGAAAAAUGGUAGUGACAGCGACAAAGAUAGAGGUGACUAUGAUUCUGAUCAAAACAGAAAAUGAUGGAGAUCACGUGAAGGAUGAUGGUUGCACGGCGAAGAUGGUGGUAGCUAGGGUUUCUUAGUGAAUGUUCAGUUGAGUCAUGAGUGAGGGUGAAAGUUAGGGUUACUCUAAAUGAAUGAAGAGAGAGACAAGAGUAGAGAGUGAUGGGUGAGAUUUGGAUGAAAAUUAGGGUUACUCUGAAAUCUGAUGGGUGAGGUUUGAGUAAAAAAUGGGCUGGUAUUAUUGGGCCUAGUAUAACUUUUAAUUUUUAAUACAUUAGAUCAGGCGGGUUCGGGUACCCACAGUCAAAAUAUUAUAAAUCAAACCCGCCCAUUUAAAACCAUGUGGACCCACGUAAAUUGACCCGUGAACCCAUUAACCCGUCUUUGCCCACCCAAUAUUAAAUUUGGGCUGCGGGUUGUCCAGUUAUUUUCGGGCCACAGGUUUCUGUCCAGUCCUAGAUGUAUAUAGCCGCAGACAGAUCUUUUAAUUUUGAGUAUUUGAUGUUGAUCCAAAGGUUGAGAUGAUGUUACAGUAUAAAGUUGUUGCGGUCUAAAAUUUUAAAUGUUUCUUGAAUUGUGUUAUUAAAAUUUAUUUUAAAAUAGAAAAAAUAUGGAAAAAUCCUUAAUUAAUUAAUUAUGCAAAAUUAAUAUUAACUUAUAUAAAUUUAUUUCUCCUUUUUUAAAAUGAAAAUAUAAUUUUUAUUUAUUUAAACACAUAUUAGGAAAAAAUAAAAUUUUAUUAUUAUGUUUCACAAUUGUGCGAUCUUGCUCUUACGUAUCUCCCGAUGCGAUAGAGAAAUCAAAACUACGUAGUUCUUACGUAGAAAAUGCAGAUGUAUUGAUUGUUUUUUUUUAAAGAAAAUGCGUUUGAUUACAAUAAAAUGAUUGAAUAAAAAUAAAUUGUUGAUUUAAUGAAAGAAAAGAAAACCUUGAGUCAGAUAAAUUAAUUUUGAUGAAAAAGUUUAGUUAUUUAUUUUGAUUUUGUUAAGAAAGUUUAAUAUCACCAAGUUGUCACAACUCAAAUGUCUUAAACUAUCACUGACACGAUGUCGCAUCUUAAUCAGUCUUAUUUUAUUAAAAGGAUAUUUAUUAUUUUGAGCUUAAGAUCGUUAAGUUGUCACAACUCAGACAUCUUAAAAUUAAGUUUAGCAAAACAUAACAUUUCACCCAACCUUUUAGUCACAUUGAUUUGAACAACAUGGAUAUUCAUUUUAUUAAAGAUGAUAAUGAUAAAUCAGAGAAUGAAUUUUGAAUGUCUAUUAUUUGAAAAGUAGUUGAUGUUAAUUGUAUUUAGUCCAUAACUUAAAUAAAAGAAUAAGAUGACAAUUAUUAUAACACUAAAAGAAUUUAAUAAAACUUUUAACAAAAACUAAAAUGCUUAUUUAUGGUAAACAAAAUUCAAAUUAAAGGUAUAACACUAAACAAAACUAUAAAACAAUUACAAAGAUGAAUCUAGAAAUAGUUAUCACACAAGUUGAAUAUUUGUUAUACUCAUUGAUUUGCUUUGUUUGUAUAUAUAUUUUUUUUUUUUUGAGUUGUUGUAUUCUUCCUUAACUCAUUUCAUGCUUCAUUUAUCAUACUAACAAAAACUCUUACUAACUUAAAAAAAAAAAUCAAAACCGAAAACUCGGCAACCUCUUACUAGUUUAAAAAAUUGCAGUUUUUUAAGAAGAAGAAAAAAAGGCUAAAAAGGGUUAAAAAUAUGGUGUGUGCAACUAUAAAGAUGAAAAAUAAGAAGGUUGAAAAGAUGGAAGAGAGUGUUAAUGCUGCCUAAAACAAAACAAAAAAUAACAAGAAUUAAUAGGGAACCAGAGGAUACGACCAGAGGCAGAAACAUAAAUGGAGGUAGAUACAGAACCAGAGGUAGAACCAGAUAAUACCUCCAAAGGCAGAAACACAAUCAGAGGAUACCACUAGAGGCAGAAACGAACGCAAAACCAGAAGAUACCACCAGAGACAGAAAUGGAAUUGGAGGCAAAACCAGAUGAUACCACCAGAGGCAAAAAUGCAAUCAGAGGCAGAAUCGAAAGAUACCACCAGAGGCAGAACCGAAGGAGACCAUCAGAGGCAUAACCAAAGGAUACCGCUAGAGGCAAAACUUGAGGAAAAGUUAGAGGAUAUCACAAAAGGCAGAAACAGAACCAAAUGCAGAAAUAAAAUCUGAGGCAUAAAUGGAACCAGGACAAAACUAUAGGAUACCACCAAAGACAAAAGUGGAGGCUACAACUAGAAUACAGAACCAGAGGCAAAACCAGAGGAUACCACUAGAGGUGGAACUAGAUAAUACCAUCAAAGGCAUAAAUGGAAUCAUAGGCAGAAAUGAAACCAAAGGCAGAACCACAAGAUACCACCAGAGGCAGAAACAGAACCAGAGGCAGAAGUGGAGGCUACAACUGGAAUACGAAACCAGAGGAUAGCACCAGAGGUAAAAACAGAAUCAGAGGCAGAAACAUAACUAGAGGCAGAAGCGGAGGCUACAACUGGAAUACGAAACCAGAGGCAAAAAUAGAGAAUACCACUAGAGGCAAAACUAGAGGAUACCAUUAGAGGCAGAAACAGAAUCGAAGGCAGAAUUGUAGGAUACCACCAGAGGUAGAACUAGAGUAUACCAUCAGAGGGAGAAACAAAAUUAGAGGUAGAACCAGAGGAUAUCACCAGAGGCAGAAAUGGAAACAAAUGGCAGAAUUGGAGGCAGAAUCAGAGGAUAACACCAGAGGCAGAAAUAGAAUCAGAGGCAGAAGUGGAUGCUACAACUGGAAAACUUUUUAUGAUUGACUGGACAAAAUUGGGUUAAUACAGAAGUCAUAGUUGUCACAACAUACAAUAUGAAUCAGCAGAAGGAUGACAACACAAACCGCAUCCGCAUAUACCCACCCAAACUCGUCCUAAUUUGUGUGGAAAAAAUCCAUUUCGAUUAGGUGUGGAUUCAAAUUUUUUCCAAUAUUAAAACUCCGGGGUGGGGGCGGGUUUGGGGUGUUGAUAUUCCCUCGAGUCCGGUUCGCUAUUAAUAUUAUUGUCAUUUUUAAAUUUU
This 5739-nucleotide long non-coding RNA is filed under the name Cicer arietinum (chickpea). RNAcentral describes it as "long non-coding RNA (CARI_LNC003242)". Lineage: Eukaryota; Viridiplantae; Streptophyta; Magnoliopsida; Fabales; Fabaceae. The record is from RNAcentral.